UACGAGAGGCCCAAACGUUAUUCGGAUUCACUGGGCGUAAAGGGUGCGCAGGCGGCCAAGUGUGUGAGGCGUGAAAGCCCGGGGCUUAACUCCGGAAUUGCACCUCAAACUACUUGGCUAGAGCAUUGGAGAGGGUAGCAGAAUUCACGGUGUAGCAGUGAAAUGCGUAGAUAUCGUGAGGAACACCGGAGGCGAAGGCGGCUACCUGGACAGUGACUGACGCUGAGGCGCGAAAGCUAGGGGAGCGAACGGG
Molecule: ribosomal RNA, 253 nt
Filed under: uncultured bacterium
Lineage: Bacteria
Description: partial 16S ribosomal RNA
Rfam family: Bacterial small subunit ribosomal RNA
Source: RNAcentral